This 2926-nucleotide ribosomal RNA is filed under the name Salmonella enterica. RNAcentral's name for it is "bacterial LSU rRNA". It matches the Rfam family "Bacterial large subunit ribosomal RNA". RNAcentral also lists the same sequence under 1 other name. Lineage: Bacteria; Pseudomonadati; Pseudomonadota; Gammaproteobacteria; Enterobacterales; Enterobacteriaceae. The record is from RNAcentral.
GGGUUGUGAGGUUAAGCGACUAAGCGUACACGGUGGAUGCCCUGGCAGUCAGAGGCGAUGAAGGGCGUGCUAAUCUGCGAUAAGCGCCGGUAAGGUGAUAUGAACCGUUAUAACCGGCGAUACCCGAAUGGGGAAACCCAGUGUGUUUCGACACACUAUCAUUAACUGAAUCCAUAGGUUAAUGAGGCGAACCGGGGGAACUGAAACAUCUAAGUACCCCGAGGAAAAGAAAUCAACCGAGAUUCCCCAGUAGCGGCGAGCGAACGGGGAGGAGCCCAGAGCCUGAAUCAGCAUGUGUGUUAGUGGAAGCGUCUGGAAAGGCGCGCGAUACAGGGUGACAGCCCCGUACACAAAAGCGCAUGUGCUGUGAGCUCGAUGAGUAGGGCGGGACACGUGGUAUCCUGUCUGAAUAUGGGGGGACCAUCCUCCAAGGCUAAAUACUCCUGACUGACCGAUAGUGAACCAGUACCGUGAGGGAAAGGCGAAAAGAACCCCGGCGAGGGGAGUGAAAAAGAACCUGAAACCGUGUACGUACAAGCAGUGGGAGCACCCUUUGGGGUGUGACUGCGUACCUUUUGUAUAAUGGGUCAGCGACUUAUAUUCUGUAGCAAGGUUAACCGAAUAGGGGAGCCGGAGGGAAACCGAGUCUUAAUUGGGCGUUAAGUUGCAGGGUAUAGACCCGAAACCCGGUGAUCUAGCCAUGGGCAGGUUGAAGGUUGGGUAACACUAACUGGAGGACCGAACCGACUAAUGUUGAAAAAUUAGCGGAUGACCUGUGGCUGGGGGUGAAAGGCCAAUCAAACCGGGAGAUAGCUGGUUCUCCCCGAAAGCUAUUUAGGUAGCGCCUCGUGAAUUCAUCUCCGGGGGUAGAGCACUGUUUCGGCUAGGGGGCCAUCCCGGCUUACCAACCCGAUGCAAACUGCGAAUACCGGAGAAUGUUAUCACGGGAGACACACGGCGGGUGCUAACGUCCGUCGUGAAGAGGGAAACAACCCAGACCGCCAGCUAAGGUCCCAAAGUCAUGGUUAAGUGGGAAACGAUGUGGGAAGGCCCAGACAGCCAGGAUGUUGGCUUAGAAGCAGCCAUCAUUUAAAGAAAGCGUAAUAGCUCACUGGUCGAGUCGGCCUGCGCGGAAGAUGUAACGGGGCUAAACCAUGCACCGAAGCUGCGGCAGCGACGCUGAUGCGUUGUUGGGUAGGGGAGCGUUCUGUAAGCCUGCGAAGGUGGCCUGUGAGGGUUGCUGGAGGUAUCAGAAGUGCGAAUGCUGACAUAAGUAACGAUAAAGCGGGUGAAAAGCCCGCUCGCCGGAAGACCAAGGGUUCCUGUCCAACGUUAAUCGGGGCAGGGUGAGUCGACCCCUAAGGCGAGGCCGAAAGGCGUAGUCGAUGGGAAACGGGUUAAUAUUCCCGUACUUGGUGUUACUGCGAAGGGGGGACGGAGAAGGCUAUGUUGGCCGGGCGACGGUUGUCCCGGUUUAAGCGUGUAGGUGUGUGUUCCAGGUAAAUCCGGUUCACUUUAACACUGAGGCGUGAUGACGAGGCACUACGGUGCUGAAGCAACAAAUGCCCUGCUUCCAGGAAAAGCCUCUAAGCAUCAGGUAACAUCAAAUCGUACCCCAAACCGACACAGGUGAUCAGGUAGAGAAUACCAAGGCGCUUGAGAGAACUCGGGUGAAGGAACUAGGCAAAAUGGUGCCGUAACUUCGGGAGAAGGCACGCUGACAUGUAGGUGAAGUGAUUUACUCAUGGAGCUGAAGUCAGUCGAAGAUACCAGCUGGCUGCAACUGUUUAUUAAAAACACAGCACUGUGCAAACACGAAAGUGGACGUAUACGGUGUGACGCCUGCCCGGUGCCGGAAGGUUAAUUGAUGGGGUCAGCGCAAGCGAAGCUCCUGAUCGAAGCCCCGGUAAACGGCGGCCGUAACUAUAACGGUCCUAAGGUAGCGAAAUUCCUUGUCGGGUAAGUUCCGACCUGCACGAAUGGCGUAAUGAUGGCCAGGCUGUCUCCACCCGAGACUCAGUGAAAUUGAACUCGCUGUGAAGAUGCAGUGUACCCGCGGCAAGACGGAAAGACCCCGUGAACCUUUACUAUAGCUUGACACUGAACAUUGAGCCUUGAUGUGUAGGAUAGGUGGGAGGCUUUGAAGUGUGGACGCCAGUCUGCAUGGAGCCGGCCUUGAAAUACCACCCUUUAAUGUUUGAUGUUCUAACGUGGACCCGUGAUCCGGGUUGCGGACAGUGUCUGGUGGGUAGUUUGACUGGGGCGGUCUCCUCCUAAAGAGUAACGGAGGAGCACGAAGGUUGGCUAAUCCUGGUCGGACAUCAGGAGGUUAGUGCAAUGGCAUAAGCCAGCUUGACUGCGAGCGUGACGGCGCGAGCAGGUGCGAAAGCAGGUCAUAGUGAUCCGGUGGUUCUGAAUGGAAGGGCCAUCGCUCAACGGAUAAAAGGUACUCCGGGGAUAACAGGCUGAUACCGCCCAAGAGUUCAUAUCGACGGCGGUGUUUGGCACCUCGAUGUCGGCUCAUCACAUCCUGGGGCUGAAGUAGGUCCCAAGGGUAUGGCUGUUCGCCAUUUAAAGUGGUACGCGAGCUGGGUUUAGAACGUCGUGAGACAGUUCGGUCCCUAUCUGCCGUGGGCGCUGGAGAACUGAGGGGGGCUGCUCCUAGUACGAGAGGACCGGAGUGGACGCAUCACUGGUGUUCGGGUUGUCAUGCCAAUGGCACUGCCCGGUAGCUAAAUGCGGAAGAGAUAAGUGCUGAAAGCAUCUAAGCACGAAACUUGCCCCGAGAUGAGUUCUCCCUGAGACUUUAAGUCUCCUGAAGGAACGUUGAAGACGACGACGUUGAUAGGCCGGGUGUGUAAGCGCAGCGAUGCGUUGAGCUAACCGGUACUAAUGAACCGUGAGGCUUAACCUUACAACGCCGAAG